This is a non-coding RNA of Coffea arabica (coffee), 897 nucleotides long. Lineage: Eukaryota; Viridiplantae; Streptophyta; Magnoliopsida; Gentianales; Rubiaceae. The record is from RefSeq and is a predicted model, not a curated record.
AGAAACUCGAGCUCGAUCGAGUCUAAAAAAUGGAUACUCGAAGCUCGACUCGAAGAAUUUCCUUUAGGCUCGAGACUCGACUCGAUAAGGCUCGACCUUUAGUCAAGCCUUAUCGAGUCGAGUCUUAUCAAGCUUUUUGACUCGAUUUGACCAAAAAAUGAGAUCAAAGGUGGCUUUUUGGGAAGAUUCAAAGGCAAGCUGGAUUGCUUGACAUGAAACUUUCAAAUUCAGCAAUUACCCACCAACUAGUGGUGCCCACAAGAGCAGCAAAAAAUGGAUGAUUCUAAUUCCUCAUAUCAUAGUUCCUAAGCCACAGUAGGGUAAUAAAAUCUAUACUGCGUAGUUGUAAUUUGUAAAAUAACUAGAAGCUACUACAAAUUAAUGAGUUCAAGUAGUUACAAAAUAACCCUGAAGCAAAUUAAGAGAAUAUAUAAAACCAAUCUUUAUAGUUCAGCAACUACCAACCCCCGCAAGCCAUGAGAAAGCUACAAAUAUUAGACUGAAAAUAUGUAAAGAAGCUAGACAUAUGUAGGCCUUCUACUGGUUUGUAGUUAUAAAAGCUAAAUUGCUCUCUUCGAUAUGUUCUAGACUUGCUCCAAUGCUUUCCAUUACUUAUUCAGGAGCUGAUUACUUUUAUUGAGCUUAUUAAGAAUCCUAGGUACAACUUCUGGAGCCGUACUUUCACUAGAUGUGCACCAGAGAUUGAGAAUCUCCACGGACAAGGAGGUAAAAUUUUCAUUUUAGCAAGUUUUUUCCUUUUUAAUUUUUCUAACGGGUAAAAGGUGGAAUUUUUCCCCAAGGCCUUAACUUUUAAAGGCUGCACAACUGGAGAGAGCUUUCUUGUGUAUAAAAUACAAAGCUUAUGUUAUAUCACACCUAAUCUAAACUACUACAACA